UACGAGAGGCCCAACCGUUAUUCGGAUUUACUGGGCUUAAAGAGUUCGUAGGCGGCGCAGAAAGUGGGGUGUGAAAGCCCUCGGCUCAACCGAGGAAUUGCGCUCCAAACUACUGUGCUAGAGGAAGCUAGAGGUGAGCAGAACAGAUGGUGGAGCGGUGAAAUGCGUUGAUAUCAUCUGGAAUACCGGAGGCGAAGGCGGCUCACUGGGGCUUUUCUGACGCUGAGGAACGAAAGCCAGGGUAGCGAACGGG
Molecule: ribosomal RNA, 253 nt
Filed under: uncultured bacterium
Lineage: Bacteria
Description: partial 16S ribosomal RNA
Rfam family: Bacterial small subunit ribosomal RNA
Source: RNAcentral